This 21-nucleotide non-coding RNA is filed under the name Caenorhabditis elegans. The record is from RNAcentral. Lineage: Eukaryota; Metazoa; Nematoda; Chromadorea; Rhabditida; Rhabditidae.
UAAAGUUUUUUGAAGUUUUCU